UNUGAUGUGAAAGCCCCCGGCUCAACCGGGGAGGGUCAUUGGAAACUGGGGAACUUGAGUGCAGAAGAGGAGAGUGGAAUUCCAUGUGUAGCGGUGAAAUGCGUAGACAUAUGGAGGANCACCAGUGGCGAAGGCGACUCUCUGGUCUGUAACUGACGCGGAGGCUCGAAAGCGUGGGUAGCAAACAGGAUUAGAUACCCUGGUAGUNCACGCCGUAAACGAUGAGUGCUAAGUGUUGGAGGGUUUCCGCCCUUCAGUGCUGCAGUUAACGCAUUAAGCACUCCGCCUGGGGAGUACGACCGCAAGGUUGAGACUCAAAGGAAUUGACGGGGACCCGCACAAGCGGUGGAGCAUGUGGUUUAAUUCGAAGCAACGCGAAGAACCUUACCAAGUCUUGACAUCCUUUGACCACUCUAGAGAUAGAGCUUUCCCUUCGGGGACAAAGUGACAGGUGGUGCAUGGUUGUCGUCAGCUCGUGUCGUGAGAUGUUGGGUUAAGUCCCGCAACGAGCGCAACCCUUAUUACUAGUUGCCAGCAUUCGGUUGGGCACUCUAGUGAGACUGCCGGUGACAAACCGGAGGAAGGUGGGGAUGACGUCAAAUCAUCAUGCCCCUUAUGACUUGGGCUACACACGUGCUACAAUGGAUGGUACAACGAGCAGCGAACUCGCGAGGGUAAGCGAAUCUCUUAAAGCCAUUCUCAGUUCGGAUUGUAGGCUGCAACUCGCCUACAUGAAGCCGGAAUCGCUAGUAAUCGCGGAUCAGCGCGCCGCGGUGAAUACGUUCCCGGGUCUUGUACACACCGCCCGUCACACCACGAGAGUUUGUAACACCNAAAGUCGGUGAGGUAACCAUUNGGAGCCA
This 863-nucleotide ribosomal RNA is filed under the name uncultured bacterium. RNAcentral's name for it is "bacterial SSU rRNA". It matches the Rfam family "Bacterial small subunit ribosomal RNA", at positions 588 to 1451 of the family's 1533-position model. The record is from RNAcentral.